GUAUGGUGCAAGCGUUAUCCGGAUUUACUGGGUGUAAAGGGAGCGCAGGCGGGAGAACAAGUUGGAAGUGAAAUCCAUGGGCUCAACCCAUGAACUGCUUUCAAAACUGUUUUUCUUGAGUAGUGCAGAGGUAGGCGGAAUUCCCGGUGUAGCGGUGGAAUGCGUAGAUAUCGGGAGGAACACCAGUGGCGAAGGCGGCCUACUGGGCACCAACUGACGCUGAGGCUCGAAAGUGUGGGUAGCAAACAGGAUUAGAUGCCCUGGUAGUCCACACCGUAAACGAUGAUUACUAGGUGUUGGAGGAUUGACCCCUUCAGUGCCGCAGUUAACACAAUAAGUAAUCCACCUGGGGAGU
Molecule: ribosomal RNA, 355 nt
Filed under: uncultured bacterium
Lineage: Bacteria
Description: bacterial SSU rRNA
Rfam family: Bacterial small subunit ribosomal RNA
Source: RNAcentral